GUUUAUUGAAUUAGUAAUUAAAAGCACCUAAAUUUUAUGAUAUUGAGACAUGUUUAAAUUUUAAUCUUAUAUUAUAGGUUUGAAAUAGUUGUUUCAUUUGUUGAGAAAAUUCGUUUUUGAACUAUUUACAAACAUUUUGCAACAAGAAAACGAAACCAAAUUGAUAAUGAUUGGCAACCCUAGGAACCUAAGUUACCCUUUAAGUUCAAUCAAAUUAAAAAUUCCUAAUUUAAUCUCAAGUUAAGUUGAUUUUGCUUAGGGUUGUAACUUGGGCAAGUUUAUUAAAGAUGCU
This 292-nucleotide long non-coding RNA is filed under the name Vitis vinifera (wine grape). Its description in RNAcentral is "long non-coding RNA (VVIN_LNC007833)". The record is from RNAcentral. Lineage: Eukaryota; Viridiplantae; Streptophyta; Magnoliopsida; Vitales; Vitaceae.